This 265-nucleotide ribosomal RNA is filed under the name uncultured archaeon. RNAcentral describes it as "partial 16S ribosomal RNA". It matches the Rfam family "Archaeal small subunit ribosomal RNA", at positions 719 to 982 of the family's 1478-position model. The record is from RNAcentral.
ACAGUCACACAUUAGAUACCCCGGUAGUCCCAGCCGUAAACAAUGUGCGUUAGGUGUGUCGGUAACCACGUGUUACUGAUGCGCCGAAGAGAAAUCGUGAAACGCACCACCUGGGAAGUACGGUCGCAAGGCUGAAACUUAAAGGAAUUGGCGGGGGAGCACCACAACAGGUGGAGCCUGCGGUUUAAUUGGAUUCAACGCCGGACAUCUCACCGGAUAAGACAGCUGAAUGAUUGUCAAUCUGAAGGUUUUACAUGACUAGCUG